Rosa chinensis is the source of this 317-nucleotide long non-coding RNA. RefSeq lists it as uncharacterized. NCBI's taxonomy places the organism in Eukaryota, Viridiplantae, Streptophyta, Magnoliopsida, Rosales, Rosaceae. The transcript has 3 exons. The record is from RefSeq and is a predicted model, not a curated record.
GUUGCUGAAUUAGGCUAAUACAUUUGAGUGGAGAUGCUUGAAUAUUGAUUUCUUUUAUUCAUCCUCUGUGCAGGAACUGUGUGAAUCAGAGGGCCACAAAUGAAAGCUUGAAGAGAAUAAAGGUUUCACCUGCUACUACUAUUAUUGCUGCAACUGAUUUAUCUGUUGUGAAAUAGGUGUGCAAGUGGCAGCGACGAUCCGAAUUGUUCUACACCCAAAAGGAUGUUGAUGUUGUGAGGUCAGAGUGGGCUAAGUUUGUGAUGAAGUAUCAUAUUGCAUAGCUGUGAUGGUUGUUCAAGGCAGGGCUCUUAUUUUGG